UACAGAGGGUGCAAGCGUUAAUCGGAAUUACUGGGCGUAAAGCGUACGCAGGCGGUUUUGUAAGUCAGAUGUGAAAUCCCCGGGCUUAACCUGGGAACUGCGUUUGAAACUACAAGGCUAGAGUGUGGCAGAGGGGGGUGGAAUUCCACGUGUAGCAGUGAAAUGCGUAGAGAUGUGGAGGAACACCGAUGGCGAAGGCAGCCCCCUGGGUUAACACUGACGCUCAGGCACGAAAGCGUGGGGAGCAAACAGG
Molecule: ribosomal RNA, 253 nt
Filed under: uncultured bacterium
Lineage: Bacteria
Description: partial 16S ribosomal RNA
Rfam family: Bacterial small subunit ribosomal RNA
Source: RNAcentral